Molecule: long non-coding RNA, 768 nt
Filed under: Anser brachyrhynchus (Pink-footed goose)
Lineage: Eukaryota; Metazoa; Chordata; Aves; Anseriformes; Anatidae
Description: lncRNA (ENSABRG00000003323.1)
Source: RNAcentral
CAGCCAUCAUAUGAAGUAAAAUUUAAGAACAUCUUAAGCCUGGGCUGUUCAAAUUAAACUGAAGACAUGACUUUGUCCUUGAUGGAUGUACCAAAGCAAGUCUUUGAAACUUUUGGACUGAAAUAAGUAGCAGAUCAAACUUGUAGGAGUAACAGCUGUUACAAGGUGAUGGCAGAGACCUAGCUGCACGUUUCUCCCUUCUGAACACCUCUGAGCUAUAUUUUGGUGACUGACAGCAUGAGGAAGGCAGAAGAGAGCAGACGGGGGAGUCAGAGGGGCAGAAAUGCCUUUCUGGAAUACGCUAGGGCUAUAAAAUGAAUUUGACAUCUGCGGAAAGGAGAAGGGCAGCAAUAAAUUUGCUGUGCAUGCAUCAGUACUUCAGGUGUCUUCUUCAUGACUCAAAACACCGCAAACUUCAGUGCACCUUAAACUACCCUUUGGGCAUGGUGACACACAAUGUUCUGGGCCACCUGGAAACAGAAGCAUUACAAAGCAUCAGCAACCAUCUAUUACAUCUGACAUCAGUGAACUGCAACAAGAAAAGUGUUUGGGGAAGAAGGGAGAAGAGGAUGUUCUUAACAGAAGAUUUUGCGUCAAAGAUUAUGUCCUGCUUUUUUUCAUCAGCUGAAUUGUAAGUACAAAGUGAGGGUGGGCAUUUUAUUUUCAGCUGCAGUGUGUAUUCUUUAAAAAAGAAAGGAUAAGAAAGUCCUGUCAUUGUUCAGCCUACAAAGUCUGAUCAUCCCUAGCAAAAUUACAGGCUAAUCAAGG